UAUGGCUCAGGAUGAACGCUAGCGGCAGGCCUAAUACAUGCAAGUCGAACGAUACCAGAGAGCUUGCUUUCUGGGAAAGUGGCGCACGGGUGCGUAACGCGUAUGCAACCUACCUUAAUCAGGGGGAUAGCCUCUCGAAAGAGAGAUUAACACCGCAUAAAGUCACACUUCGGCAUCGAAGAAUGAUCAAAUAUUUAUAGGAUUAAGAUGGGCAUGCGUGACAUUAGCUAGUUGGUAAGGUAACGGCUUACCAAGGCUACGAUGUCUAGGGGAUCUGAGAGGAUGACCCCCCACACUGGUACUGAGACACGGACCAGACUCCUACGGGAGGCAGCAGUAAGGAAUAUUGGUCAAUGGGGGCAACCCUGAACCAGCCAUGCCGCGUGCAGGAAGACGGCCCUACGGGUUGUAAACUGCUUUUAUACGGGAAUAAAUCUCGCUACGUGUAGUGAGUUGAAUGUACUGUAAGAAUAAGGAUCGGCUAACUCCGUG
Molecule: ribosomal RNA, 492 nt
Filed under: uncultured bacterium
Lineage: Bacteria
Description: bacterial SSU rRNA
Rfam family: Bacterial small subunit ribosomal RNA
Source: RNAcentral